RNAcentral lists this ribosomal RNA (403 nucleotides) under Bacteroidota bacterium. RNAcentral describes it as "Bacteroidetes bacterium partial 16S ribosomal RNA". It matches the Rfam family "Bacterial small subunit ribosomal RNA", at positions 355 to 776 of the family's 1533-position model. The record is from RNAcentral. Lineage: Bacteria; Pseudomonadati; Bacteroidota.
UGGGGAAUCUUGCACAAUGGGGGAAACCCUGAUGCAGCGACGCCGCGUGAGCGAUGAAGGUUUUCGAAUCGUAAAGCUCUGUCCUAUGGGAAGAUAAUGACGGUACCAUAGGAGGAAGCCCCGGCUAACUACGUGCCAGCAGCCGCGGUAAUACGUAGGGGGCGAGCGUUGUCCGGAAUUACUGGGCGUAAAGGGUUCGCAGGCGGCAUGACAAGUCCGAUGUAAAAGGCGAAAGCUCAACUUUCGUAAGCAUCGGAAACUGUCAAGCUUGAGUGAAGGAGAGGCAAGUGGAAUUCCUAGUGUAGCGGUGGAAUGCGUAGAUAUUAGGAGGAAUACCGGUGGCGAAGGCGACUUGCUGGACUUCAACUGACGCGGAGGAACGAAAGCGUGGGUAGCAAACAGG